This 1174-nucleotide long non-coding RNA is filed under the name Equus caballus (horse). Its description in RNAcentral is "lncRNA (ENSECAG00000052039.1)". Lineage: Eukaryota; Metazoa; Chordata; Mammalia; Perissodactyla; Equidae. The record is from RNAcentral.
CUGUAUUAGGGCAUCAGUGAUACUUGCCACUCCCUGAUCAGCAAGUCCAAGUAGCAUGACGUCAUCAAUAGGUGGGUCAUAGUGAUGUUCUGUGUCAUGUCAGGAUGAGCAAGGUCCUUGCAGACAUGUAGACAGUGAAUGUAUACUGCUGUUCUUCACAUAUGAAGGCAACCACUAUAGAUUUUCCUUGUUGAUGGGGAUUGAGAAGAAAGCAUUUGCCAGGGAGUGUACUUCCCCACCGAAGCUGUGCUCAGACCUAACUCUGGUCAUUAGCCAGGAGACAACGAGGGGUGAUGGGGACAGAUCUUGAGAAAAACAAUGGUCAGCUGUGGAGCAUCUCGUCUGUGAGCAAUCUGAAAGCCCUGUGCUGGGAUGGUGGUUUCCCAAAAUGGAAGCAGCCUGGAUCACCGAGUCACUGCAUGGAGGAUAGCUGCCCUAAAGACACACCCAACCCACACUGGAAUUUUCAUGAGCAAGAAAGAAAUCUUUAUUGUGGAAUGUUCCAUGCAGUCCUGUGGUUAGUCACAAAGCCUGAAGAUGAUAAACGUACUACAGCAUCGGCCAGUGUUUCCCUUCCAGGACCAGAAGUGGACGGAGCCUGAGCAAGCAGAAAAUAAUAAUACAGCUGGCAGCCUGGCAAGGGGCCAUAAUGAAACGCCUCCGAGUAGUCCUUAUUUCUGGAGCAGCCCUCCCUUCCCACCCCGCCUCACUUGCUGUGCUGGUCUGGGCACAGGGAUAGGGCCUUCCAUGUCCCUGUCCAAGGGAAGCCAGGGUAGUUUGCGAUCUUAAACACAGGGAAACACGGAAGUCAGCCUGCUCUGCCUCUGGCUCCCAAGGGGAAUUCCCAGCAGCUGUUUAAUAGAGUGCAUGCCCACCCAACAUUAUAUAAUUGUUCGAGGCGGGAUGAGAUGAGGUGAGAAAAAAUAAAAGAAUGAAUGACUCCUGUGAGAUUGCAGACAGUUGAGUAACCAGGUGGCAUGCUUCCCUUAAGGAAUGUUCUAGUGUGAUUGGGGAGUAAGUGUGAGAAGUGUUGUAGCAUCCUUGUGUUUUAGGGGAAUGAGGACUAGCCAGGGGCUUCUGCUAAGUAGGCAGUUUCCUUUGGGCUGGAGCUGGGACAAGUAUUUCCAGCUCAAAGCACCAGGGGACACUGUGGCAGAAGGAAGGGACAGAAGAG